UAGGGAAUCUUCCGCAAUGGGCGAAAGCUUGACGGAGCAACGCCGCGUGAGUGAUGAAGGUCUUCGGAUCGUAAAACUCUGUUAUUAGGGAAGAACAAAUGUGUAAGUAACUAUGCACGUCUUGACGGUACCUAAUCAGAAAGCCACGGCUAACUACGUGCCAGCAGCCGCGGUAAUACGUAGGUGGCAAGCGUUAUCCGGAAUUAUUGGGCGUAAAGCGCGCGUAGGCGGUUUUUUAAGUCUGAUGUGAAAGCCCACGGCUCAACCGUGGAGGGUCAUUGGAAACUGGAAUACUUGAGUGCAGAAGAGGAAAGUGGAAUUCCAUGUGUAGCGGUGAAAUGCGCAGAGAUAUGGAGGAACACCAGUGGCGAAGGCGACUUUCUGGUCUGUAACUGACGCUGAUGUGCGAAAGCGUGGGGAUCAAACAGG
This 429-nucleotide ribosomal RNA is filed under the name Actinomycetes bacterium. RNAcentral's name for it is "Actinobacteria bacterium partial 16S ribosomal RNA". It matches the Rfam family "Bacterial small subunit ribosomal RNA", at positions 355 to 776 of the family's 1533-position model. The record is from RNAcentral. Lineage: Bacteria; Bacillati; Actinomycetota; Actinomycetes.